CCCUUAGAUGCUCUGGGCCGCACGCGCGCUACACUGGUCGAUGCAACGAGUUUCUUUCCUUGGCCGACAGGCCUGGGCAAUCUUUGAACAUCGAUCGUGAUCGGGAUAGAUUCUUGUAAUUUUUGAUCUUAAACGAGGAAUUCCUAGUAAACGCAAGUCAUCAGCUUGCACUGAUUACGUCCCUGCCCUUUGUACACACCGCCCGUCGCACCUACCGAUUGAAUGGUCCGGUGAAAUCUCCGGACUGGCGUGAGUCGGAGCAAUCUGACAAACACCGGAAAGUUGAUUAAACCUUACCAUUUAGAGGAAGGUGAAGUCGUAACA
Molecule: ribosomal RNA, 324 nt
Filed under: uncultured eukaryote
Lineage: Eukaryota
Description: partial 18S ribosomal RNA
Rfam family: Eukaryotic small subunit ribosomal RNA
Source: RNAcentral